AAGUUCACUAAGAGAGACUAGGUUACAAGAUGAAGUUUGGAAAAUGCUUAAAACAUGCCCUCCAGGUUUUUACCCAGCACAGGGACUGACCACACAACCUUUGGAGCCUGAGAGCUGGGACUACCCUAUUCUCUGUACAGUGCAACUAGGUCUGCUUUCUUUGGCAUUCAGGAGGCACACCGUUCUGCUUUUCCCUGCACGACAUCAGAAGUGUUUCCAAACAUUGCGUGUAUGAGGUUCAGCAACAAUUACACCAACAGCACCAUCAUGUUUAGACGGAAGAUAUACAGGAUCGUUUUUCCAGUCAUUGCAAUGGCACAACGCUUAUGUUGCAGCUUUUUUGGGCUCAGUUUUUUUUUGGCUCCUGUAUGCUUGAGUGCAUCGCAGAUAGCACAUUAUUCAAUAUGAACUGCUCUACUUUUAAACAGACUCCAGUCGACUAAAAAGGCAUAGAGGUAGAUGGAAAGUGUCCAAUCCGUAUGAUGACUGGGUAACAAUCACAGCUCUAUUUGGCCAAACCUUAACCCAACAUUAAAUAUGUGAUUGUUAUUUUUAUGUGUAUAGUCUUGUCCUGUUAAAUCCUGGAUGACGCAUAAUGUGAUGAAAACUAUUUCCCAAUUUGGGAUUAAUGAAGUAAUACGCUGUUCUCUUUACACUUAUGUGCUUUUGAAGUUAGAACAGUAAGUUACUGUGCAUGAACCAUACUAGUACAGGAAGUGAACAGACCUGAUAUAUUUUAGUACAGGAAGUAAACAUCUGAGGUAUUCUAGUACAGGAAGUAAAUACAUCUGAGAUAUACUAGUACCAGAAGUAAACAUCUGAGGUAUUCUAGUACAGGAAGUAAACACAUCUGAGAUAUACUAGUACCAGAAGUAAACAUCUGAGGUAUUCAAGUACAGGAGGUAAACACAUCUGCAUAAGCCUGUUUCACCAGUUGUAUUAUUAAAGUAGUAAAAAGAGACUGUUUUCUGAAACGUUUCUUGAUCAUGAUAUGCAUACAAAUAGAAAGGCCUGCAUGUAUAGUAUUUUGC
Long non-coding RNA from Esox lucius (northern pike), 1031 nucleotides. The record is from Ensembl. NCBI's taxonomy places the organism in Eukaryota, Metazoa, Chordata, Actinopteri, Esociformes, Esocidae.